AUGAACGCUGGCGGCGUGCCUAAUACAUGCAAGUCGCACGCUUCACUUCGGUGAAGAGUGGCGAACGGGUGAGUAAUACAUAAGUAACCUGGCAUCUACAGGGGGAUAACUGAUGGAAACGUCAGCUAAGACCGCAUAGGUGUAGAGAUCGCAUGAACUCUAUAUGAAAAGUGCUACGGGACUGGUAGAUGAUGGACUUAUGGCGCAUUAGCUUGUUGGUAGGGUAACGGCCUACCAAGGCGACGAUGCGUAGCCGACCUGAGAGGGUGACCGGCCACACUGGGACUGAGACACGGCCCAGACUCCUACGGGAGGCAGCAGUAGGGAAUUUUCGGCAAUGGGGGAAACCCUGACCGAGCAACGCCGCGUGAAGGAAGAAGUAAUUCGUUAUGUAAACUUCUGUCAUAGAGGAAGAACGGUGGAUAUAGGGAAUGAUAUCCAAGUGACGGUACUCUAUAAGAAAGCCACGGCUAACUACGUG
Molecule: ribosomal RNA, 481 nt
Filed under: uncultured bacterium
Lineage: Bacteria
Description: partial 16S ribosomal RNA
Rfam family: Bacterial small subunit ribosomal RNA
Source: RNAcentral